This 446-nucleotide ribosomal RNA is filed under the name uncultured bacterium. RNAcentral's name for it is "bacterial SSU rRNA". It matches the Rfam family "Bacterial small subunit ribosomal RNA", at positions 330 to 794 of the family's 1533-position model. The record is from RNAcentral.
GCCAGACUCCUACGGGAGGCAGCAGUGGGGAAUAUUGCACAAUGGGGGAAACCCUGAUGCAGCAACGCCGCGUGAGUGAUGACGGCCUUCGGGUUGUAAAGCUCUGUCUUCAGGGACGAUAAUGACGGUACCUGAGGAGGAAGCCACGGCUAACUACGUGCCAGCAGCCGCGGUAAUACGUAGGGAGCGAGCGUUGUCCGGAAUUACUGGGUGUAAAGGGAGCGUAGGCGGGGAUGCAAGUUGGGUGUCAAAACUACCGGCUCAACUGGUAGUCGCACUCAAAACUGCAGCUCUUGAGUGAAGUAGAGGCAGGCGGAAUUCCUAGUGUAGCGGUGAAAUGCGUAGAUAUUAGGAGGAACACCAGUGGCGAAGGCGGCCUGCUGGACGACAACUGACGGUGAGGCGCGAAAGCGUGGGGAGCAAACAGGAUUAGAUACCCUGGUACU